CCUACGGGGGGCAGCAGUGAGGAAUAUUGGUCAAUGGACGAGAGUCUGAACCAGCCAAGUAGCGUGAAGGAUGACUGCCCUAUGGGUUGUAAACUUCUUUUAUAUGGGAAUAAAAUGUUCCACGUGUGGGCUUUUGUAUGUACCAUAUGAAUAAGGAUCGGCUAACUCCGUGCCAGCAGCCGCGGUAAUACGGAGGAUCCGAGCGUUAUCCGGAUUUAUUGGGUUUAAAGGGAGCGUAGGUGGAUUGUUAAGUCAGUUGUGAAAGUUUGCGGCUCAACCGUAAAAUUGCAGUUGAAACUGGCAGUCUUGAGUACAGUAGAGGUGGGCGGAAUUCGUGGUGUAGCGGUGAAAUGCUUAGAUAUCACGAAGAACUCCGAUUGUGAAGGCAGCUCACUGGACUGCAACUGACACUGAGGCUCGAAAGUGUGGGUAUCAAACAGGAUUAGAUACCCGAGUAGUC
Molecule: ribosomal RNA, 460 nt
Filed under: uncultured bacterium
Lineage: Bacteria
Description: partial 16S ribosomal RNA
Rfam family: Bacterial small subunit ribosomal RNA
Source: RNAcentral